UGCAGUUGUUGCUGCUAAGGGUGGCCCAAACAGUUAUUAGACUUAGGGCGCAAUCACUUUUUCACACAGGGCCAUGUAGGUUUGGAUUUUGUUUUCCCUUAAUAAUAAUCAUUUGGAAACUGGAU
Molecule: long non-coding RNA, 125 nt
Organism: Sander lucioperca (pikeperch)
Lineage: Eukaryota; Metazoa; Chordata; Actinopteri; Perciformes; Percidae
Exons: 3
Source: RefSeq, a predicted model, not a curated record